RNAcentral lists this non-coding RNA (119 nucleotides) under Tatumella morbirosei. Lineage: Bacteria; Pseudomonadati; Pseudomonadota; Gammaproteobacteria; Enterobacterales; Erwiniaceae. The record is from RNAcentral.
AUUUUCAGACGUAGGGUACAGAGGUAAGAUGUUCUAUCUUUCAGACCUUUUACUUCACGUAAUCGGAUUUGGCUGAAUGUUAGCCGCCCCGUUCAUUCAGGUGAACGGGGCGUUUUUUA